GAUGAAGAACGUAGCGAAAUGCGAUAAGUAAUGCGAAUUGCAGAAUUCCAGUGAGUCAUCGAAUCUUUGAACGCACAUUGCGCCCUUUGGUAUUCCGAAGGGCAUGCCUGUUCGAGCGUCAUUAUCACCCCUCAAGCCCCCGGCUUGGUGUUGGACGGUUUGGUGGAGGCCCCCUCGGGGGCUCCUGCCCCUCCCAAAGACAAUGACGGCGGCCUCGUUGGACCCCCGGUACACUGAGUUCUUCACGGGACACGUAUCGGACACAUGGGUUUACGGGACACGGUCUGCCUACCCUCAGGGAGAAUCUUUCUAAGGUUGACCUCGGAUCAGGUAGGGAUACCCGCUGAACUUAAGCAUAUCAAUAAGCGGAGGA
This 373-nucleotide unclassified non-coding RNA is filed under the name soil metagenome. RNAcentral's name for it is "partial contains 5.8S ribosomal RNA, internal transcribed spacer 2, and large subunit ribosomal RNA". The stretch from base 1 to 121 matches the Rfam family "5.8S ribosomal RNA", at positions 35 to 154 of the family's 154-position model. The record is from RNAcentral.